GAUGAACGCUAGCUACAGGCUUAACACAUGCAAGUCGCGGGGCAGCAUGGGGGUUGCUUGCAAUCCCCGAUGGCGACCGGCGCACGGGUGAGUAACGCGUAUCCAACCUGCCCUUCACCACGGGAUAACCCGGCGAAAGUCGGACUAAUACCGUAUGUUGUCCAUUGACGGCAUCCGAUUUGGACGAAAGGUUUGGCGGUGAAGGAUGGGGAUGCGUCCGAUUAGCUGGACGGCGGGGUGACGGCCCACCGUGGCGACGAUCGGUAGGGGUUCUGAGAGGAAGGGCCCCCACACUGGAACUGAGACACGGUCCAGACUCCUACGGGAGGCAGCAGUGAGGAAUAUUGGUCAAUGGGCGUAAGCCUGAACCAGCCAAGUAGCGUGCAGGAUGACGGCCCUAUGGGUUGUAAACUGCUUUUAUGCGGGGAUAAAGUGGCCCACGUGUGGGUUUUUGCAGGUACCGCAUGAAUAAGGACCGGCUAAUUCCGUG
This 490-nucleotide ribosomal RNA is filed under the name uncultured bacterium. Its description in RNAcentral is "partial 16S ribosomal RNA". It matches the Rfam family "Bacterial small subunit ribosomal RNA", at positions 28 to 507 of the family's 1533-position model. The record is from RNAcentral.